UAUAAGCCCCUCUGUUAACUUUUGUUCAAGCCUGUCUAAAUCUUUUAUCAGUCUAGAAAGAUGUUGGAGAAAAGACAUCAUCCUCUUCUAUAAUCUCCAUCUGUAAUUGGACUAACAACUGGACCAGUCAAUGCAGGCAAUUUACUCUCCAUUCGACCUUGCAGGUCACACCAUGGUCUCAAGAGGGAAAAUGAGUGCUCUAUGGAUUGAACAGAAAAAGGUGAAUCAAAACUCCAACAUCUGUAUGAGGGUCUGGAUGGAUAAAGGAUGCCCACUGGAGCUGGAAAUGAUGGAUCAGGUGGAUCCACACUUGAACCAUCUGUAUGAUGAUCUGCACCCACUGGAUCUGUAAAUGGUGGUGCAGAAAGACACAGCACAUCAUUAUAUCGUUGGCUCCGCCCACUGGUGUUCAGUCUAAAGUAGUAGUUGUUGACAAUCAUAAAGUUGUAAUAACAGUAAGAUUGUGAUGUCAGACAAACAUUGUGCUGUUGCUGGCUGUGGGAAAUUAGUGUCUUUGUAAGGGUCGCAAAUAAUUUGAAAAUAUUUAUGUUUCUAAAUAUGCCCCCCUACCAUGAACUAAACUGGACUGUUGCAGAGACCAAGUGUAGUAGGGUACACUACUAUGCAGGUGACAUUCUUUUGUUUAUUGAAGCUAUGACAAAUAAUUUGUCUGUUUAGUUAAUGUUUUAUACAGUGUAACUGUACCUAAACAUUGUUCCUUGAGGUCCUCUGCUAUUUACAUUUUGUAUGUCUUCCUUAUUUAACACACCUUAUUCAAAUCAUCAGCUCAUUAGUAGAGAUCUUCAUGAACUGAACUGAGGCUGUGUCCAAAUGUUCACACUUGUUGUCUUUGCACUAGACUACUUACAUUACGGGUUUUUUUUUUUUUGUAUUUGGCCUAAGUAUUCUAGUGGGCGUGAAGAUCCCAAGCGUGCAUGUAGAAUUAUUCAUCCGAUGGGACACACUUAGCAUGGGUAAAAAUUUCAAUCCAGGUAGUGCCAGCAAUUUGCACCAAAACGUAUUUGUGUUUUAUUUACUACUUUUAAUUUAUAUUUAACAUUUUUAAGUUUUUCUGUAAAUAAAAUGAACACUCUGAAAUGAACAUUUGCUUAUAUCAAACUUUUAGAUGCAGAAUUCUUUGCUCCUGUAAAA
Non-coding RNA from Paramisgurnus dabryanus, 1152 nucleotides. The record is from RefSeq and is a predicted model, not a curated record. Lineage: Eukaryota; Metazoa; Chordata; Actinopteri; Cypriniformes; Cobitidae.